This 549-nucleotide ribosomal RNA is filed under the name Triticum aestivum (bread wheat). Its description in RNAcentral is "partial small subunit ribosomal RNA". Lineage: Eukaryota; Viridiplantae; Streptophyta; Magnoliopsida; Poales; Poaceae. The record is from RNAcentral.
UAUGAUGAGAGAUUUAUGGAUUGUGGACUCGACGACCUGGGCUAUACCGGUGACCUUUUCACUUGGAGGAGAGGCGAAAUAUGUGAGCGUCUUGAUCGGGCGGUCUGUAAUUUAGCGUGGGAAAAUAAAUUCCCACGAGCGGCAGUGAUCAACGAAGAACAUGUUCAUUCUGACCACCGCCCAAUUGUACUGGACAUGGAUUAUUUGGAUGAAAAGGUGUUUAAUCGACCAGAGGGGCGCGUUAAACAAUUUGAGGCGAGGUGGUUGAGGGAAAAGACAGUCACUGAAAUUGUUAAGGCAUCUUGGGAGAAAGCUAAGCUUGCAGGUAUUGGACCUUCACUUGCUGAUCGUACGAGAGCAGUGCAUGCCGGUUUGCAUACUUGGGAUCGGGAAAUUCUAAAGGGACCGAAGGUAAGAAUUAGGAAAUUAAAAAAGGAAUUGGAAAGAUUAAGGCAUGGCCCACUGAAUACGGAAUCUCGAUGUCGUCAGAAGGAAAUUAUUGUGCUAAUUAAAAACAUUUUGGAUCAAGAGGAAAUUUUCUGGUUAUAA